AGCUUGCUUCUCUGAUGUUAGCGGCGGACGGGUGAGUAACACGUGGAUAACCUACCUAUAAGACUGGGAUAACUUCGGGAAACCGGAGCUAAUACCGGAUAAUAUUUUGAACCGCAUGGUUCAAAAGUGAAAGACGGUCUUGCUGUCACUUAUAGAUGGAUCCGCGCUGCAUUAGCUAGUUGGUAAGGUAACGGCUUACCAAGGCAACGAUGCAUAGCCGACCUGAGAGGGUGAUCGGCCACACUGGAACUGAGACACGGUCCAGACUCCUACGGGAGGCAGCAGUAGGGAAUCUUCCGCAAUGGGCGAAAGCCUGACGGAGCAACGCCGCGUGAGUGAUGAAGGUCUUCGGAUCGUAAAACUCUGUUAUUAGGGAAGAACAUAUGUGUAAGUAACUGUGCACAUCUUGACGGUACCUAAUCAGAAAGCCACGGCUAACUACGUGCCAGCAGCCGCGGUAAUACGUAGGUGGCAAGCGUUAUCCGGAAUUAUUGGGCGUAAAGCGCGCGUAGGCGGUUUUUUAAGUCUGAUGUGAAAGCCCACGGCUCAACCGUGGAGGGUCAUUGGAAACUGGAAAACUUGAGUGCAGAAGAGGAAAGUGGAAUUCCAUGUGUAGCGGUGAAAUGCGCAGAGAUAUGGAGGAACACCAGUGGCGAAGGCGACUUUCUGGUCUGUAACUGACGCUGAUGUGCGAAAGCGUGGGGAUCAAACAGGAUUAGAUACCCUGGUAGUCCACGCCGUAAACGAUGAGUGCUAAGUGUUAGGGGGUUUCCGCCCCUUAGUGCUGCAGCUAA
This 794-nucleotide ribosomal RNA is filed under the name uncultured Staphylococcus sp. Its description in RNAcentral is "bacterial SSU rRNA". It matches the Rfam family "Bacterial small subunit ribosomal RNA", at positions 77 to 855 of the family's 1533-position model. Lineage: Bacteria; Bacillati; Bacillota; Bacilli; Caryophanales; Staphylococcaceae. The record is from RNAcentral.